This 70-nucleotide transfer RNA is filed under the name Dipodomys ordii (Ord's kangaroo rat). It matches the Rfam family "tRNA". From Rfam's summary of the family: Transfer RNA (tRNA) molecules are approximately 80 nucleotides in length. The record is from Rfam by way of RNAcentral. Lineage: Eukaryota; Metazoa; Chordata; Mammalia; Rodentia; Heteromyidae.
GGGAAUGUGGCUUAAUGGUAGAGUGCUUGCCUCACAUGCACGAAGUCCUGAGUUCAAUUCCUCAGUGCCA